This 117-nucleotide ribosomal RNA is filed under the name PVC group bacterium (ex Bugula neritina AB1). The record is from RNAcentral. Lineage: Bacteria; Pseudomonadati.
UUCGGUGACUAUAACGGAGGGGAUACACCCGUUCCCAUUUCGAAUACGGAAGUUAAGUCCUCCUGUGCCGAUGGUACUGCACUGGUGACGGUGUGGGAGAGUAGGUCGUUGCCGGUU